GAUGAACGCUAGCGGCAGGCUUAACACAUGCAAGUCGAGGGGCAGCGCGGGGUAGCAAUACUUCCGGCGGCGACCGGCGCACUGGUGAGUAACACGUAUGCAACCUGCCCCGGGCAGGGGGAUAAUCCGGAGAAAUCUGGUCUAAUACCCCGUAGGCCUCCGUCCCGCAUGGAAUGGAGGUGAAAGGAGCGAUCCGGCACGGGAUGGGCAUGCGGCGCAUUAGCUAGUCGGCGGGGCGACGGCCCACCGAGGCGACGAUGCGUAGGGGUUCUGAGAGGAAGGUCCCCCACACUGGUACUGAGACACGGACCAGACUCCUACGGGAGGCAGCAGUGAGGAAUAUUGGGUCAUGGACGGAGGUCUGAACCCAGCCAGUCGCGUGAGGGAAGACGGCCCUACGGGUUGUAAACCUCUUUUGCGGGGGAAGCAAGUGCGCCACGGGUGGCGCAUUGCGAGUACCCCGAGAAAAGCAUCGGCUAAUUCCGUGCCAGCAGCCGCGGUAAUACGGAAGAUGCGAGCGUUAUCGGGAUNAUGGGG
Molecule: ribosomal RNA, 537 nt
Filed under: uncultured bacterium
Lineage: Bacteria
Description: bacterial SSU rRNA
Rfam family: Bacterial small subunit ribosomal RNA
Source: RNAcentral